GUCCCAGCCGCCGCGGUAAUACGUAGGGUGCGAGCGUUAAUCGGAAUUACUGGGCGUAAAGCGUGCGCAGGCGGUUUUGUAAGACAGAGGUGAAAUCCCCGGGCUCAACCUGGGAGCUGCCUUUGUGACUGCAAGGCUAGAGUACGGCAGAGGGGGAUGGAAUUCCGCGUGUAGCAGUGAAAUGCGUAGAUAUGCGGAGGAACACCGAUGGCGAAGGCAGUCCCCUGGGCCUGUACUGACGCUCAUGCACGAAAGCGUGGGGAGCAAACAGGAUUAGAUACCCUGGUAGUCCACGCCCUAAACGAUGUCAACUGGUUGUUGGACGGCUUGCUGUUCAGUAACGAAGCUAACGCGUGAAGUUGACCGCCUGGGGAGUACGGCCGCAAGGUUGAAACUCAAAUAAAUUGGCGG
RNAcentral lists this ribosomal RNA (411 nucleotides) under uncultured bacterium. RNAcentral describes it as "bacterial SSU rRNA". It matches the Rfam family "Bacterial small subunit ribosomal RNA", at positions 505 to 916 of the family's 1533-position model. The record is from RNAcentral.